GUCGUAACAAGGUUUCCGUAGGUGAACCUGCGGAAGGAUCAUUAACAAAUCAUGUUGUCGCAGCGAGAGUCCUCGGAUUCUCCUCGGCAUAUACACCCCAAGCCUGGACAGUAGUCCGGGCUUUGGUCAUUGACCGCCUGUCACAGGGAGGUCAAUACAUAGACGCUUGUAUGUUUGACAGAGUUUUGGUUUGCAAUACAAAAUUGACAACUUUUAACAAUGGAUCUCUUGGCUCUUGCAACGAUGAAGAACGCAGUGAAAUGCGAAAAGUAAUGCGAUUUGCAUGAAUCUGUGAGUCAUCAAGUUUUUGAACGCACCUUGCACCGUAUGAGCAAUUGUACGGUAUACCUGUUUGAGAAUCGUAAAAAACCAUUCUAUACUUCUCGUAAGUGUAGAGAUUUGUUUGCUGAGCGGGCUCACGCCUGCUCUCAGACUAAAUGCAGUAGGCUUGGAACAGGCUGGUGGCCUGGGACAUUGUGUGAUAGAGACGUCGCCGUAAGGCAGACAGUCUUCUCACAAUGGGUCCUGGGCUAUUCCAAAACCGGUCUGCUUCGAGCCUCUACAGUCAAAGCCCUUCAAACGGCUGCGACAACCCCCCUUUUUGAUCUCAAAUCAGGUAAGGCUACCCGCUGAACUUAAGCAUAUCAGUAAGCGGAGGAAAAGAAACUAACAAGGAUUCCCCUAGUAACGGCGAGCGAAGCGGGAAGAGCUCAAAUUUAAAAUCUGGUAGGCUUCGCCUAUCCGAAUCGUAGUUUAAAGAGGCGUUAUCNGGUCACGGUUGGGUGCUCAAGUUCCUNGGAAUAGGACGUCACAGAGGGUGAGAACCCCGUCUGGGCAUCGGGCCGUGGCCCUCUAUGAGGCGCUCUCUACGAGUCGGGUUGUUUGGGAAUGCAGCUCAAAAUGGGUGGUAAAUUUCAUCUAAGGCUAAAUACUGGCAAGAGACCGAUAGCGAACAAGUACCGUGAGGGAAAGAUGAAAAGCACCUUGAAAAGGGAGUUAAAUAGUGCGUGAAAUUGUUAAAAGGGAAACGAAUGAGACCAGUAUUGCGGUCGGCCGCUCAGCGGGGCAUUGGUGUAAGCCUGUGCUCCGUGUAUUCGGUUGGCUGCGGGUCAGCGUCAGUUUGGGCUUCCGGAGAGAGGUCAGAGGAAGGUGGAGUUGACCUUCGGGUCUCCUCUUUAUAGACUCUGGCUGGCACGAGGAGCCUGGACUGAGGUGAGCGUCUGCCAUACUCUCGGUUUGAGACUGGCCUCCAAGGCGUUGGACUACAUGUAGACCUGCGCUGCAAGGGACAGAGGUAGAGCCGAGCAGGCAGUUCCAGGAUGCUGACGAAAUGGUCUUAUACGACC
RNAcentral lists this ribosomal RNA (1346 nucleotides) under uncultured fungus. Its description in RNAcentral is "eukaryotic LSU rRNA". The stretch from base 603 to 1346 matches the Rfam family "Eukaryotic large subunit ribosomal RNA", at positions 1 to 649 of the family's 3401-position model. The record is from RNAcentral. Lineage: Eukaryota; Fungi.